This 149-nucleotide non-coding RNA is filed under the name uncultured Niameybacter sp. Lineage: Bacteria; Bacillati; Bacillota; Clostridia; Lachnospirales; Lachnospiraceae. The record is from RNAcentral.
GAGGUGCUAGAAAUAGCUUAAUAGGGAAACAGUUGUAAUUACUGUACGGUCCCGCCGCUGUGAUGAGGAGAACUUAUUCAAACCACUUUCAUUUGAAGGGAAGGGAAUAAGUUUGAUGAUUCUAAGUCAGAAGACCUGCCUACUAAUAA